Long non-coding RNA from Physella acuta, 626 nucleotides. RefSeq lists it as uncharacterized. Lineage: Eukaryota; Metazoa; Mollusca; Gastropoda; Physidae. The record is from RefSeq and is a predicted model, not a curated record.
UUUCCCUGUUGCAAAUGGUGGCUCCCAUGCAGCUUUAAAAAUACAAUUUACGACUUGCUUUUGAAGAAUAAAAACAUCAUUUUAGAAUGGCACAUUCCUUUAAGAUGUUCUACACUACAAGUGAAGUAUUGAACAUUUUAGACACUAUUAACCAUAAUGAAAGCGACUUAGAAGAUGAAGUGUCAUCCACUGAUGAUGAAGAUGAAUUAUACACCUUAGCAAAUGAAUAUGACAAUGAAGAAAUAGUUGGUGUUGCAGAUACACCAGACUCAGAUGAGAAUAAGUUGCUAGAAACUCCAGUCAGUUAAAACAAAAAAAAACAUAUCAUUGGCACAAAACAUUUGAGCCACCUGAUGUCAUCUUCAGAGGUGAAAAGCUGCAACUUCCAGACCAGUGGUUCCCAACCUUUUUCGAGUGGCGACCCCCUUUUAUAAAAAUUAAGGACCCGCGACCCCCAUAGAAUUAAAAAGCCGAAAUUAGUAUGGAAAUUAAUAAGCACUAAAAUAAGAUUUUCUAGUAGACUUUCAAUAUGAACUACUUUUGAUAACUGUUUUAAUACCAUGAGUAAAUUGUGUUUUUAAUCGAAAAAUAGUGUUCAAAAUAAAAUUGUAUUCUCGAAAAGUCAA